GAGUCACCCAGCAGCAGGUGUUCCCCCUGCUGCUCCUCUCAAACCUCUCUGCAUGAGUUGUCCCCUGGGAUAUGCUCUCUGUGAUCCCCUUGCAGCAUCGCCGCUGAUCUUCCCAGCCAAAAUGAGAGCAGAAGCAGUAGCCAAGUGAUCCCACAUAAUCUGUCUGUCUCUCCUAUACCAAGGACUCCACAUCUAGACACAGUACUCCAGCUGUUUCAAAAGGCUCUGUGAAGGGACCUCCACAGUGAGAAGCAGCCUGAAGUGGGCACCACUGCUGGGAACAGACCCAGGGUGCAGCACAGCCUCUGAGGCUCUAGCAGAGAAAUUCGGUAGUUGAUAGCAGUGGUUGAUUAUUUAGUCCACAAGGAGUGAAAUGGCAAAGACAAAUGGGUUUGUCAUAGGAAGCCUGGGCACCUCAGCUCCCAAGCCACCGGAUGGGGCCCCAAAGCUUUGCAAUGCCCUUCUGGGUAAGGACAGGCCAUACCCAUAGAUCUCAGGCAAAGUGGCAGAUGGAGGGCCAUGGGGUGGCACAGCCCCUUAGGAAGCAGCAGAACUGCUGUUCACCCAGCUGCCAAACACAUCAGCAAGGGAGCUUUGCUGACCUCAGUUUGUGAGAUUGCCCUCCCUCCGCACUUUGUCAGUCUUGGCCUUUAGUCUGUAGCCUGAGCCCCUAACUGGGAAAUAUUAAAAUGGCAUUAAAUAUUAAGAGAGACAACACAGCAUCCCUCACAGUGAGGGAGCUCCUGACACAGCAAUGCUUUUCCUAAUAAACUGCCUU
Gallus gallus (chicken) is the source of this 778-nucleotide long non-coding RNA. The record is from Ensembl. NCBI's taxonomy places the organism in Eukaryota, Metazoa, Chordata, Aves, Galliformes, Phasianidae.